AUGCUUCGCCAACAAGCAGCUCUUCUAGCAGUAAACGUGCUAAGCUAUCCAAGGAUCUUGCGACCACUCAGAGAUCGGCGGCUUCCCUCGAGGAAGACCGCUGGGCGCAAUGAAUGCCCUAGUUUGGAACUGCCAGGGGGGAACCGCCGGACAGUUAGCGAGGUUUUGGCCCUCUCAAAAGCCAAUAACCCCAAGCUUGUCUUCCUGUGCGAGACUAGGCAAGCUACUAUGAAAAUAGAGAAGUUACGAUGGAGACUCGGUCUGAAAGGAUUUCAUGGUGUGAAUAGUGACGGAAGGAGUGGGGGCUUAGCACUUUUC
RNAcentral lists this ribosomal RNA (318 nucleotides) under Triticum aestivum (bread wheat). Its description in RNAcentral is "partial small subunit ribosomal RNA". The record is from RNAcentral. Lineage: Eukaryota; Viridiplantae; Streptophyta; Magnoliopsida; Poales; Poaceae.